GUUUUUUUAUUGAGUUGGCUUUUUCCUGCUUAUAAAAAGAAAUUUGCUGUUCACCCGAAGCUAAAAUGUUAUACCCUGAAGAUGAUUUGAUUACAUAUGACGCAUUGAACUCUGCAUCCGAUUCAUCGGAAGACGAGUCGAGCUACGAGGAUCUACUGGAUCGAUGUGAUGGGGCCGAUUCUGCUUCGUACCUCGUAAACGAAUUUUUCGCGCGUGAUCAGUCGGGGAAUAGAGAAGAGACGAACAACGCAAGCGAACCACGUGCUUCCGGCUUUAAACCAAGAUCGGUUUCCAAGAGAAAGAACGGGUUGUCUACAUUGAACGAGCCGUCAGGAAGCAAGAGGC
Molecule: long non-coding RNA, 345 nt
Organism: Culex quinquefasciatus (southern house mosquito)
Lineage: Eukaryota; Metazoa; Arthropoda; Insecta; Diptera; Culicidae
Exons: 3
Source: RefSeq, a predicted model, not a curated record